AACGAACGCUGGCGGCAUGCCUAACACAUGCAAGUCGAACGAGACCUUCGGGUCUAGUGGCGCACGGGUGCGUAACGCGUGGGAACCUGCCCUUAGGUUCGGAAUAACUCCCCGAAAGGGGUGCUAAUACCGGAUAAUGUCUUCGGACCAAAGAUUUAUCGCCUUUGGAUGGGCCCGCGUUGGAUUAGCUAGUUGGUAGGGUAAAAGCCUACCAAGGCGACGAUCCAUAGCUGGUCUGAGAGGAUGAUCAGCCACACUGGGACUGAGACACGGCCCAGACUCCUACGGGAGGCAGCAGUGGGGAAUACUGGACAAUGGGCGAAAGCCUGAUCCAGCAAUGCCGCGUGAGUGAUGAAGGCCUUAGGGUUGUAAAGCUCUUUUACCCGGGAUGAUAAUGACAGUACCGGAGAAUAAGCUCCGGCUAACUCCGUG
This 432-nucleotide ribosomal RNA is filed under the name uncultured bacterium. RNAcentral's name for it is "partial 16S ribosomal RNA". It matches the Rfam family "Bacterial small subunit ribosomal RNA", at positions 29 to 507 of the family's 1533-position model. The record is from RNAcentral.